This 244-nucleotide ribosomal RNA is filed under the name uncultured Actinomycetales bacterium. Its description in RNAcentral is "partial 16S ribosomal RNA". It matches the Rfam family "Bacterial small subunit ribosomal RNA", at positions 89 to 334 of the family's 1533-position model. The record is from RNAcentral. Lineage: Bacteria; Bacillati; Actinomycetota; Actinomycetes; Actinomycetales.
GCUCGAGUGGCGAACGGGUGAGUAACACGUGAGUAACCUGCCCUUGACUUUGGGAUAACUUCAGGAAACUGGGGCUAAUACCGGAUAGGAGCUCCUGCUGCAUGGUGGGGGUUGGAAAGUUUCGGCGGUUGGGGAUGAACUCGCGGCUUAUCAGCUUGUUGGUGGGGUAGUGGCUUACCAAGGCUUUGACGGGUAGCCGGCCUGAGAGGGUGACCGGCCACAUUGGGACUGAGAUACGGCCCAG